This 644-nucleotide unclassified non-coding RNA is filed under the name Aspergillus flavus. RNAcentral's name for it is "sequence contains ITS1, 5.8S rRNA gene and ITS2". The stretch from base 188 to 341 matches the Rfam family "5.8S ribosomal RNA". The record is from RNAcentral. Lineage: Eukaryota; Fungi; Ascomycota; Eurotiomycetes; Eurotiales; Aspergillaceae.
GGGGAUAAUAAGUGUAGGGAUCUAGCGAGCCAACCUCCCACCCGUGUUUACUGUACCUUAGUUGCUUCGGCGGGCCCGCCAUUCAUGGCCGCCGGGGGCUCUCAGCCCCGGGCCCGCGCCCGCCGGAGACACCACGAACUCUGUCUGAUCUAGUGAAGUCUGAGUUGAUUGUAUCGCAAUCAGUUAAAACUUUCAACAAUGGAUCUCUUGGUUCCGGCAUCGAUGAAGAACGCAGCGAAAUGCGAUAACUAGUGUGAAUUGCAGAAUUCCGUGAAUCAUCGAGUCUUUGAACGCACAUUGCGCCCCCUGGUAUUCCGGGGGGCAUGCCUGUCCGAGCGUCAUUGCUGCCCAUCAAGCACGGCUUGUGUGUUGGGUCGUCGUCCCCUCUCCGGGGGGGACGGGCCCCAAAGGCAGCGGCGGCACCGCGUCCGAUCCUCGAGCGUAUGGGGCUUUGUCACCCGCUCUGUAGGCCCGGCCGGCGCUUGCCGAACGCAAAUCAAUCUUUUUCCAGGUUGACCUCGGAUCAGGUAGGGAUACCCGCUGAACUUAAGCAUAUCAAUAAGCGGAGGAAAUAACAAGAGAAAAAAAAAAAAAAAACAUUUUUUUUAUUUUUUUUUUUUUUUUUUUUUUUUUUUUAUUUUUUU